CUGGUCCCUGAGAAGCAUGGCGGCUUCUUCGAGUGGUGAGAAGGAGAAGGAGUGGCUAGGAGGCAGCUCGGCAUCAGCAGGCAGUAACAGUACACGGGAGCAGCUGUUUUCUGCGCUUGAAGAUCUGGAGGUCUUGUCAAGGGAACUUAUAGAAAUGCUGGCAAUUUCAAGAAACCAAAAGCUGUCACAGGCUGGGGAGGAAAACCAGGUCCUUGAGUUGUUAAUUCACCGAGAUGGGGAAUUUCAGGAACUAAUGAAAUUGGCACUUAAUCAGGGAAAAAUCCAUCAUGAAAUGCAAGUUUUAGAAAAAGAAGUAGAGAAGAGAGAUAGUGAUAUUCAGCAACUACAGAAACAGGUAAAGGAAGCAGAACAAAUACUGGCAACUGCUGUUUAUCAAGCAAAAGAGAAACUCAAGUCAAUAGAAAAAGCAAGAAAAGGUGCUAUCUCCUCUGAAGAAAUAAUUAAGUAUGCUCAUAGAAUUAGUGCAAGUAAUGCUGUUUGUGCCCCACUGACCUGGGUUCCAGGAGACCCACGAAGACCAUACCCAACUGAUUUAGAGAUGAGAAGUGGAUUGUUGGGUCAGAUGAACAAUCCUUCCACAAAUGGUGUGAAUGGUCAUUUACCAGAGGAUGCCCUUGCUGCUGGUAGACUACCAGAUGUGCUUGCUCCACAGUAUCCAUGGCAAUCAAAUGAUAUGUCAAUGAACAUGUUACCACCAAACCACAGUAACGACUUUUUGUUGGAACCUCCUGGGCAUAAUAAGGAAAAUGAAGAUGACGUAGAGGUUAUGUCAACGGACUCCUCAAGCAGUAGUAGUGACUCUGAUUAAAAGCAUGUGAGACAGCUUGCAGAACCGAAGAGUACAGAAUUCUGUUUCUUAUACAUUAGCAAGGAGAUAGAUGCCUUAUGCAGAGGCGUAAGGACCAGCCAUAUAAAUACUGGCUGUGAUGGAAUUGCACAGCUCAUGAGAAGUCAAAAUGGACUUCCCUUUUAAAGCCCCAAAUCAUGGUUUUAGUUUUAAUCCACCAGGCAUAUGUUAGGGGAUUAGUCAGAAUUUACUUUUGGAAAGAAAGAGUAUUUAGUUCUGUUCCUGUUAUGAUGUAUUUGUGCAUAGUUCUGGAAAGAAGAUUUGAGGGACAUGACCCCUACACAUAUCAUUAAUGGGCUUCCGAGAAUUAUUUUUUUAGAAUAGGGCAGUAGAUUACUGAAUGUGUGUCAUAUUUGAAAGUGAAAUCUCUUGGCUUCUGUUGCAGAAACAGAACAGUUUGUACUGUUUGUAAUUGUAAUUUUUGUAAAUAAAUUGCUUCUGUUUGUAUAUUU
RNA transcript from Octodon degus (degu), 1320 nucleotides. It is a transcript of the gene named mediator of RNA polymerase II transcription subunit 4 pseudogene, with no coding region annotated. The transcript has a single exon. NCBI's taxonomy places the organism in Eukaryota, Metazoa, Chordata, Mammalia, Rodentia, Octodontidae. The record is from RefSeq and is a predicted model, not a curated record.